GCCAGGCACAGUGGCGCAUGCCUAUAAUCCCAGCGGCUUGGGAGGCUGAGACAGGAGGAUGGCGAGUUCAAAGGCAGCCUCAGCAAAAGCGAGGCAAUAAGCAACUCAGUGAAACCCUGUCUCUA
RNAcentral lists this small RNA (125 nucleotides) under Marmota monax (woodchuck). The record is from RNAcentral. Lineage: Eukaryota; Metazoa; Chordata; Mammalia; Rodentia; Sciuridae.